RNAcentral lists this non-coding RNA (27 nucleotides) under Homo sapiens (human). The record is from RNAcentral. Lineage: Eukaryota; Metazoa; Chordata; Mammalia; Primates; Hominidae.
UGCCCAGAGACACCGCAGAACAUCAGC